RNAcentral lists this ribosomal RNA (478 nucleotides) under uncultured bacterium. Its description in RNAcentral is "partial 16S ribosomal RNA". It matches the Rfam family "Bacterial small subunit ribosomal RNA", at positions 28 to 523 of the family's 1533-position model. The record is from RNAcentral.
GACGAACGCUGACAGAAUGCUUAACACAUGCAAGUCAACUUGAAGCAGUUUCGGCUGUGGAUGGUGGCGGACGGGUGAGUAACGCGUAAAUAACUUGACCUUUAGACUGGGACAACUGUUGGAAACGACAGCUAAUACCGGAUACUAUGAAACCUUGGCGUCAAGGGAUUAUGAAAGCUAUAUGCGCUAGAGGAGAGAUUUGCGUCCUAUUAGCUAGUUGGUGAGGUAAUGGCUCACCAAGGCGACGAUAGGUAGCCGGCCUGAGAGGGUGAACGGCCACAAGGGGACUGAGACACGGCCCUUACUCCUACGGGAGGCAGCAGUGGGGAAUAUUGGACAAUGGACCAAGAGUCUGAUCCAGCAAUUCUGUGUGUUUGAAGAAGGCCUUCGGGUUGUAAAGAACUUUAAGUAGGGAAGAAGAAAGUGACGGUACCUACAGAAUAAGCGACGGCUAAAUACGUGCCAGCCGCCGCCGUAA